UUUUUCCCACUGUGAAUAGAAUUAUUUUUUGUCCAUUCAUUUAUAGAAAAACUCCCGUAGUAGGUAUAUCUCUCCGUGUGCAUCAGUGCAUCGUCGUUGUCGCCUCUAUGUUUUUCGCCGCGAAACUUCUCGAACAGUUCCAACAAGUCGCGGUAAACGAUUUAUUUUAUUUUCUCGAUCAUGAGCUCCGGAAAAGCCUCGGGAAAAGCGGUGCUAGGAGCAGUGAAUAACUCAUGGGAUUGGAAGUUUUUCUCAAAUUGCUGAACGGCAAAACAUCUUAAUGUCUGCAAUGAACAUCCAACGAGCAACUUUGCAGAUUUCUGGUGCUGCUACACAUUUAUACCUACAUGUUGAAUAAAACUAUGAAAUAAAAUAAAUAAAAUCUAU
This is a long non-coding RNA of Armigeres subalbatus, 387 nucleotides long. RefSeq lists it as uncharacterized. The transcript has 2 exons. The record is from RefSeq and is a predicted model, not a curated record. NCBI's taxonomy places the organism in Eukaryota, Metazoa, Arthropoda, Insecta, Diptera, Culicidae.